RNAcentral lists this ribosomal RNA (271 nucleotides) under uncultured bacterium. Its description in RNAcentral is "partial 16S ribosomal RNA". It matches the Rfam family "Bacterial small subunit ribosomal RNA", at positions 524 to 794 of the family's 1533-position model. The record is from RNAcentral.
UACAGAGGUCUCAAGCGUUGUUCGGAUUCAUUGGGCGUAAAGGGUGCGUAGGUGGCUGGGUAGGUCUGGUGUGAAAUCUCGGAGCUCAACUCCGAAACUGCACUGGAUACUGCCUGGCUCGAGUACUGGAGAGGAGAUUGGAAUUUACGGUGUAGCAGUGAAAUGCGUAGAUAUCGUAAGGAAGACCAGUGGCGAAGGCGAAUCUCUGGACAGUUACUGACACUGAGGCACGAAGGCCAGGGGAGCAAACAGGAUUAGAAACCCUUGUAGU